GACAGAGGGUGCAAACGUUGUUCGGAAUUACUGGGCGUAAAGCGUGUGUAGGCGGCUUUGCAAGUCGGAUAUGAAAGCCCUGGGCUCAACCCAGGAAGUGCACUCGAUACUGCAGAGCUCGAGUAUCGGAGAGGUUGGUGGAAUUCUCGGUGUAGAGGUGAAAUUCGUAGAUAUCGAGAGGAACACCUGCGGCGAAGGCGGGUUGCUGGGCCGACACUGACGCUGAUGCGCGAAAGCCAGGGGAGCGAACGGG
This 253-nucleotide ribosomal RNA is filed under the name uncultured bacterium. RNAcentral describes it as "partial 16S ribosomal RNA". It matches the Rfam family "Bacterial small subunit ribosomal RNA", at positions 524 to 776 of the family's 1533-position model. The record is from RNAcentral.